CAUAUAUUCGGCCUAUCCGGACGUCGGGUACCAUUGCUAGAUGGUCACAUCGAUUAGUGUAGGAAGUCGUUCCUAUACUACCGGCUUAGGUUCGAACCUAUGAGGUCACACACAUAGAAGAUUCCUGAUUGAUCAAGAAGACUGAUGAAUGAUUAAGAAUCAUUCAGGGGUAAUUUGGUCAAUUCGAUUGGCAAAUUAUCUUAUAAAAUAAUUAAAGUAAUUAUCGGAG
Molecule: long non-coding RNA, 229 nt
Filed under: Phoenix dactylifera (date palm)
Lineage: Eukaryota; Viridiplantae; Streptophyta; Magnoliopsida; Arecales; Arecaceae
Description: long non-coding RNA (PDAC_LNC009140)
Source: RNAcentral